Molecule: RNA transcript, 1654 nt
Organism: Spinacia oleracea (spinach)
Lineage: Eukaryota; Viridiplantae; Streptophyta; Magnoliopsida; Caryophyllales; Amaranthaceae
Exons: 5
Source: RefSeq, a predicted model, not a curated record
AAAUAUCAGGUUUGAACUCCCCUCUCAUUUGUAACUUAUAUUGUGGAUCGAUGUGCCUCAUUUAUACCAAAAAAAAAUUAUGAACGAACUGUGAUGCUAUCACUUGGUCCGACACAUAUACAUAGUCAUGUAGAUCAAAAACCUCAAAACCUAAUGGUCAUUCGAUCAAAACUCAAAAGUGAACGUACAAUGUUAGUUUGUUUGCCGUGAACUCCAAGUCCAAUGCCCUUUGGAAUUUAAAAAAUCAAAAAGAAAAAGAAAAAGAAAAAGAAAAAGAAAAAGAAAAAGAUGUGCCCACCGAUUUAAAUACCUUGUGAAAUACGGAGUAUAAAUACCAAUUAUUCCCAUUAUCUAACUAAGAAGGCGGCUAGGUCAUUGACAAGGUAUUGGGACGACAUUUCAACAGAUCGAUCAAAUGGAGUUGCAAGGUAUCGUACCUCGAUCACGAUUACGAUUCAUCAUUUUGUCCGAAUAAACCACACGGGUAAUGUAGAUGAUGAUGAUCAACCGCCAAGUACGCUAGUUCGUCAAUUUUAUUUUCCCAAAGUCGAUAUGUUUUACCCAGAUCCUGAUUUGCUAGCAAAGCUAAACAAGGCCAAGGAGUUAAAGAAACAACUUCUUGCGGAGAAAACAAGUUUGUCCCGAAAAAUACGAUCUUUAAAGCAUAAUAUAGAAGUAUUGUAUCUGGGCGAUAAUGGUCGUCAAUAUUGGUACCAAGAUGAAAUCCGCACGAUUAAAGAAUGCCGAAGUUUACUUUUCAAGCAUUGGCCUGAAACCAUGGUAACUGAACGAAGACCUCGAGGAAGAAUCAGAUCCGGCAAUAGAGUGGGGUGAAAUCUCAGAGAGAAUUGAGUCUCCAAUUAGGUCAUGGGAAGACCAAUUGGGCAGAGGAGAAACGAAUUCUGAAAGAGUUUGAACCUCUUCAAACAAGGAGGGUUGUUAUUGAGCCCAAAGCUAAACAAUCGGAAACCACAUUUUAUUUGAAAGGAAAACGUUUUCGUUGGCAUUAUUCUAAGUCUGAUAUGAAACGCAUGUAUCGUGAAUCUUUGAAGCGUAUCCGAAAACAUGAUCCAUAUUUUUGGGAUGAACAAAAACAGGAAGAACGCGAAAAACAAGUCAAUAAAAUUCAGAAGCAACUUACAUAUUUCACGAAGUUGCACGACAUUGUCAUGGAAAAGGAACAAAGGGCUACUACAUCCAUUUCCAAACUUAAAAGUCAAAUAAAAUCAAAUCAGGUUUAGGUUACAUUUAAUUGUUAAUUGUUAUUAAUUCAUAGAUUUAUAUACUUCAUAGGAAAUGAAAUCAGGUUUCUCUGUUGAUACCGUUAGAUAAUAGUCUUUCAAUUUUUACUUGUGGGACACAUGGAAGAAAUAUGUUAUUUUGUAUAUCCUUAAAUAUACCCAUGUGCAUCAUAUAAUGAAUAUGUGGUGGCUUGAGUUAUUAGGCCAAGCGGGGCUUUGGGCUUGAGAUUAACGUUUAAUAUUUUGCAAUAUGGUUAUUUUGGUAUUUGCCUAUUAUUUUCCUAUUUAACCAAAGACAUGAGAUUAACGUUUGAGUAAGUUUUAUCAUAUUUUUCACAAUGUCAGUUUUCUUCAAAAACACAUGUUCAUGGAAAUGGUAUUUAACAUAUACUAUGAGAUUUAUAUAUGUUGUA